CGGACGGGUGAGUAAUGUCUGGGAAACUGCCUGAUGGAGGGGGAUAACUACUGGAAACGGUAGCUAAUACCGCAUAACGUCGCAAGACCAAAGAGGGGGACCUUCGGGCCUCUUGCCAUCGGAUGUGCCCAGAUGGGAUUAGCUAGUAGGUGGGGUAACGGCUCACCUAGGCGACGAUCCCUAGCUGGUCUGAGAGGAUGACCAGCCACACUGUAACUGAUACACGGUCCAG
Molecule: ribosomal RNA, 232 nt
Filed under: uncultured Enterobacterales bacterium
Lineage: Bacteria; Pseudomonadati; Pseudomonadota; Gammaproteobacteria; Enterobacterales
Description: partial 16S ribosomal RNA
Rfam family: Bacterial small subunit ribosomal RNA
Source: RNAcentral